Non-coding RNA from Schistosoma rodhaini, 46 nucleotides. NCBI's taxonomy places the organism in Eukaryota, Metazoa, Platyhelminthes, Trematoda, Strigeidida, Schistosomatidae. The record is from Rfam.
GUACUGCUGAGGAGUCCCACAAUAGGACGAAACGGCCCUCCAGUGC